This 467-nucleotide ribosomal RNA is filed under the name uncultured bacterium. Its description in RNAcentral is "partial 16S ribosomal RNA". It matches the Rfam family "Bacterial small subunit ribosomal RNA", at positions 28 to 506 of the family's 1533-position model. The record is from RNAcentral.
GACGAACGCUGGCGGCGUGCUUAACACAUGCAAGUCGAACGGAAAGGCCCUGCUUUUGUGGGGUGCUCGAGUGGCGAACGGGUGAGUAACACGUGAGUAACCUGCCCUUGACUUUGGGAUAACUUCAGGAAACUGGGGCUAAUACCGGAUAGGAGCUCCUGCUGCAUGGGGGGGGUUGGAAAGUUUCGGCGGUUGGGGAUGGACUCGCGGCUUAUCAGCUUGUUGGUGGGGUAGUGGCUUACCAAGGCUUUGACGGGUAGCCGGCCUGAGAGGGUGACCGGCCACAUUGGGACUGGGAAACGGCCCAGACUCCGACGGGAGGCAGCAGUGGGGAAUAUUGCACAAUGGGCGGAGGCCUGAUGCAGCAACGCCGCGUGCGGGAUGACGGCCUUCGGGUUGUAAACCGCUUGCGCCUGUGACGAAGCGUGAGUGACGGUAAUGGGUAAAGAAGCACCGGCUAACUACGU